CCUACGGGUGGCAGCAGUGGGGAAUAUUGCGCAAUGGGCGAAAGCCUGACGCAGCGACGCCGCGUGGGUGAUGAAGGCCUUCGGGUUGUAAAGCCCUGUCGGGUGGAACGAACGAUCUGGCGGCGAAUAACCGCCGGGUGUGACGGUACCACCGAAGGAAGCCCCGGCUAACUACGUGCCAGCAGCCGCGGUAAGCCGUAGGGGGCUAGCGGUGGUCGGAUUUACUGGGCGUAAUGCGCGCGUAGGCGGCGAAAUCCCUGGGCUUAACCGAGGUCCCGCUUCCGAUACUGGCUGGCUCGAGUCUAGGAGAGGAAAGCGGAAUUCCCAGUGUAGCGGUGAAAGGCGUAGAUAUUGGGAGGAACACCGGUGGCGAAGGCGGCUUUCCGGACUAGUACUGACGCUGAGGCGCGAAAGCUAGGGGAGCGAACGGGAUUAGAUACCCUGGUAGUC
RNAcentral lists this ribosomal RNA (450 nucleotides) under uncultured bacterium. Its description in RNAcentral is "partial 16S ribosomal RNA". It matches the Rfam family "Bacterial small subunit ribosomal RNA", at positions 338 to 795 of the family's 1533-position model. The record is from RNAcentral.